UACGGAGGGUGCAAGCGUUAAUCGGAAUUACUGGGCGUAAAGCGUGCGCAGGCGGUUGGGCAAGACAGAUGUGUAAUCCCCGGGCUUAACCUGGGAAUGGCACUUGUGACUGCACGGCUAGAGUGCGUCAGAGGGGGGUAGAAUUCCACGUGUAGCAGUGAAAUGCGUAGAGAUGUGGAGGAAUACCGAUGGCGAAGGCAGCCCCCUGGGAUGACACUGACGCUCAUGCACGAAAGCGUGGGGAGCAAACAGG
RNAcentral lists this unclassified non-coding RNA (253 nucleotides) under uncultured Gammaproteobacteria bacterium. RNAcentral's name for it is "contains 16S-23S intergenic spacer region". It matches the Rfam family "Bacterial small subunit ribosomal RNA", at positions 524 to 776 of the family's 1533-position model. Lineage: Bacteria; Pseudomonadati; Pseudomonadota; Gammaproteobacteria. The record is from RNAcentral.